UGCAUCGGCCGGGAAUCGAACUUGGGCCGCCCGCAUUGCAAGCGAGCAUUUUACCACUGAACCACCGAUGC
Molecule: transfer RNA, 71 nt
Filed under: Cordylochernes scorpioides
Lineage: Eukaryota; Metazoa; Arthropoda; Arachnida; Pseudoscorpiones; Chernetidae
Description: tRNA-Cys
Source: RNAcentral